GACGAACGCUGGCGGCGUGCUUAACACAUGCAAGUCGAACGGCGAGCCAUUGAAGCUUGCUUCUUUCAAUCUUAGUGGCGGACGGGUGAGUAACGCGUAGUCAACCUGCCCUUCAGAGGGGGACAACAGUUGGAACUGACUGCUAAUACCCCAUACGACCCAAUCUCGGCAUCGGGGCCGGUUGAAAGGUGGCCUCUAUUUAUAAGCUAUCACUGAAGGAGGGGAUUGCGGCUGAUUAGCUCGUUGGAGGGGGAAAGGCCCACCAAGGCGAGGGACAGUAGCCGGGCUUGAGGGAAUGACGGCCAAAACUGGAAGGGGAAACGGCCCAGAACCCCUACGGAGGGAGCAGGUGGGGAACUUCCGAAAUUGAGGGAAGGCUGACGGCAGAACUCCGGGGGAGGGAGGACGGCCUUCGGGUUGGAAAGGUCUGUUAAUCGGGACGAAUGGUUCUUGUGCGAAUAGGGCGAGGAUUUGACGGUACCGGAAGAGAAAGCCACGGCUAACUACGUG
This 510-nucleotide ribosomal RNA is filed under the name uncultured bacterium. RNAcentral describes it as "partial 16S ribosomal RNA". It matches the Rfam family "Bacterial small subunit ribosomal RNA", at positions 28 to 507 of the family's 1533-position model. The record is from RNAcentral.